Triplophysa dalaica is the source of this 637-nucleotide long non-coding RNA. RefSeq lists it as uncharacterized. The record is from RefSeq and is a predicted model, not a curated record. The transcript has 4 exons. Lineage: Eukaryota; Metazoa; Chordata; Actinopteri; Cypriniformes; Nemacheilidae.
GACUCAGUUUUCACUCUCCUGCAGGAGGUUGCGGACCAUUGAGGAGGUUUCAAGUUCAAGUGAAAGAUAACUAAGUGACCUGUCCUGGCCAAGAGAAAGGACUGAAAGUUUCCCUCCCCCUCCCCUUUUCUCUACACUUAUCCGUAAAGAAAGGAAGGAAGCAGAAGAGAGAGGAGAGCUGUCCGUGAGAAGCAAUGAGGGAGAGAGAGGGAGAGAGAAGGAAGGAGGGGGGAAGAAGAGAGAAGGACUGAGGAGAGUGGACUGACAUAAACGUGAAAUACGAGAGCGAGAAGAGUAAAGUAGGAGAGGAAACCGUGAGAGAAGAAACGAGGGAUGGCUGAGAUGGAAGUGGGCAAAAUCGGGGAAAAGGAAGCCACCGUACCACAUGAAGACUUGCUGAAGCUGAGACACAGAUACAUCACCUGGGAUCUCGUCUGGUCCUCCUUAGGGACUACAGGUGUUUACUUCUCUCAAAGGACACACAACAUAGGCAAGCCAGCUGGUCAGUGAUCAGAGCUCAGUCCCACCAACAUGCCUGGCACACACGCUAACCUCUCUGAUGUGAUUGACAGCUCUGCCCUAGUAACCGCUUGGCACGUUGCCCGGCUGCCAAGGGUUGCCAGGGAAUGAGUUCCCA